RNAcentral lists this ribosomal RNA (690 nucleotides) under Listeria monocytogenes. RNAcentral describes it as "bacterial SSU rRNA". It matches the Rfam family "Bacterial small subunit ribosomal RNA", at positions 850 to 1533 of the family's 1533-position model. Lineage: Bacteria; Bacillati; Bacillota; Bacilli; Caryophanales; Listeriaceae. The record is from RNAcentral.
AGCUAACGCAUUAAGCACUCCGCCUGGGGAGUACGACCGCAAGGUUGAAACUCAAAGGAAUUGACGGGGGCCCGCACAAGCGGUGGAGCAUGUGGUUUAAUUCGAAGCAACGCGAAGAACCUUACCAGGUCUUGACAUCCUUUGACCACUCUGGAGACAGAGCUUUCCCUUCGGGGACAAAGUGACAGGUGGUGCAUGGUUGUCGUCAGCUCGUGUCGUGAGAUGUUGGGUUAAGUCCCGCAACGAGCGCAACCCUUGAUUUUAGUUGCCAGCAUUUAGUUGGGCACUCUAAAGUGACUGCCGGUGCAAGCCGGAGGAAGGUGGGGAUGACGUCAAAUCAUCAUGCCCCUUAUGACCUGGGCUACACACGUGCUACAAUGGAUAGUACAAAGGGUCGCGAAGCCGCGAGGUGGAGCUAAUCCCAUAAAACUAUUCUCAGUUCGGAUUGUAGGCUGCAACUCGCCUACAUGAAGCCGGAAUCGCUAGUAAUCGUGGAUCAGCAUGCCACGGUGAAUACGUUCCCGGGCCUUGUACACACCGCCCGUCACACCACGAGAGUUUGUAACACCCGAAGUCGGUAGGGUAACCUUUAUGGAGCCAGCCGCCGAAGGUGGGACAGAUAAUUGGGGUGAAGUCGUAACAAGGUAGCCGUAUCGGAAGGUGCGGCUGGAUCACCUCCUUUCUAAGGAA